UGGGGAAUAUUGGACAAUGGGCGCAAGCCUGAUCCAGCCAUGCCGCGUGUGUGAAGAAGGCCUUAGGGUUGUAAAGCACUUUUCAGUGGGGAGGAAGGGUGUUGUGUUAAUAGCACGGCAUUUUGACGUUACCCACAGAAGAAGCACGGCUAACUCCGUGCCAGCAGCCGCGGUAAUACGGAGGGUGCAAGCGUUAAUCGGAAUUACUGGGCGUAAAGCGCACGCAGGCGGCUUUUUAAGUCGGAUGUGAAAGCCCCGGGCUCAACCUGGGAAUUGCAUCUGAUACUGGGAAGCUAGAGUAUGUGAGAGGGGGGUUAGAAUUCCAAGUGUAGCGGUGAAAUGCGUAGAGAUUUGGAGGAAUACCAGUGGCGAAGGCGGCCCCCUGGCACAAUACUGACGCUCAGGUGCGAAAGCGUGGGGAGC
This 423-nucleotide ribosomal RNA is filed under the name uncultured bacterium. RNAcentral describes it as "partial 16S ribosomal RNA". It matches the Rfam family "Bacterial small subunit ribosomal RNA", at positions 355 to 769 of the family's 1533-position model. The record is from RNAcentral.